GGUGAAUUUUCCGCAAUGGGCGAAAGCCUGACGGAGCAACGCCGCGUGAGGGAGGAAGGCCUGUGGGUUGUAAACCUCUUUUCUCAGGGAAGAAGUUCUGACGGUACCUGAGGAAUCAGCAUCGGCUAACUCCGUGCCAGCAGCCGCGGUAAGACGGAGGAUGCAAGCGUUAUCCGGAAUUAUUGGGCGUAAAGCGUCCGUAGGCGGUUCAGAAAGUCUGCUGUUAAAGCUCACAGCUCAACUAUGAAUCGGCAGUGGAAACUUCUGGACUAGAGAGUGGUAGGGGUAGAGGGAAUUCCUAGUGUAGCGGUGAAAUGCGUAGAUAUUAGGAAGAACACCAGUGGCGAAGGCGCUCUACUGGGCCAUUACUGACGCUGAUGGACGAAAGCUAGGGGAGCGAAAGGGAUUAGAUACCCCUGUAGUCCUAGCUGUAAACGAUGGACACUAGGUGUUGGCCGUAUCGACCCGGUCAGUAUCGAAGCAAACGCGUUAAGUGUCCC
RNAcentral lists this ribosomal RNA (500 nucleotides) under uncultured cyanobacterium. Its description in RNAcentral is "bacterial SSU rRNA". It matches the Rfam family "Bacterial small subunit ribosomal RNA", at positions 356 to 870 of the family's 1533-position model. Lineage: Bacteria; Bacillati; Cyanobacteriota. The record is from RNAcentral.